Molecule: non-coding RNA, 73 nt
Organism: Potamilus streckersoni
Lineage: Eukaryota; Metazoa; Mollusca; Bivalvia; Unionida; Unionidae
Source: the annotation of a GenBank genome assembly
UGCUCUGGUAGCCUAGCUUUUAGAGUGUCUGCCUUGGAUGCAGAAUGUCUUGGGUUCAUUCCCAGUUGAGUAA